This 476-nucleotide ribosomal RNA is filed under the name Tetrathemis polleni. RNAcentral describes it as "partial 16S ribosomal RNA". It matches the Rfam family "Archaeal large subunit ribosomal RNA", at positions 1997 to 2678 of the family's 2987-position model. The record is from RNAcentral. Lineage: Eukaryota; Metazoa; Arthropoda; Insecta; Odonata; Libellulidae.
CAUUUAAACGGCCGCGGUUAACUGACCGUGCAAAGGUAGCAUAAUCAUUAGUCUUUUAAUAGAGGGCUGGAAUGAAAGGUUUAACGAGGAACUACCUGUCUCAUUUUAUUUGUUUUAAAAUUUAAUUUUUUAGUUAAAAAGCUAAAAUUUUUUUGGAAGACGAGAAGACCCUAUAGAUCUUNAUNUUAUUUUAUUUAAUUUUUUAAAUAUAAUUAUUUAUAAAUAAAAUUUUAUUUUGUUGGGGUGACAAACAUAUAUUAUUAACUUUUUUAUUUAUUUAUCAUUGAUCUAUGAAUUUUUGAUCCAUUAUUAUUGAUUAUUAGAGUAAGUUACCUUAGGGAUGACAGCGUAAUCCUCCUCCCGAGUUCAUAUUUACAGGAAGGGCUUGCGACCUCGCUGUUGGAUUAAGAUUAUAAUUAGGUGUAGCUGCUUGCUUAAUAGGUCUGUUCGACCUUUAAAUUCAUACGUGAUCGGAG